This is a long non-coding RNA of Diorhabda carinulata, 2323 nucleotides long. RefSeq lists it as uncharacterized. The record is from RefSeq and is a predicted model, not a curated record. Lineage: Eukaryota; Metazoa; Arthropoda; Insecta; Coleoptera; Chrysomelidae. The transcript is spliced from 3 exons.
CUUUCUAAUAUAUGACUAAACCCGAUAUAUUAUCAGUUAUAUUUAUGUAUCAGCUAUAUUUAGUCAAGGUUUAGUUUCAAAAAAUUCUGUUUUUGAGGUGUGAAGUGAAGUGUACGCCACUGCAAUAGUCGCGGUAGCUUAUGCCCGACCAGGCGGUGGUUAUGAUCACUUGGAAUUGGCUGGAGGAUACGAUGACAGCGGCCAUUUCGGAGGCGAAGAUGCCACCAGCUAUUCACAUGUUGCUUCAACUGCCAACGAAAUUGGUCACGGCGACGAAGGAUACCAUAGUUCUGACCAUGACAUCGACUAUCAUGCACCUGCUAAAUACCAUUUCGAUUACGCCGUUCACGAUUUACAUACUCAUGAUAUUAAAUCACAAUGGGAAACUAGAAAUGGCGAUCGAGUAAAAGGAGAAUAUACUAUCGUGGAGCCCGAUGGUAAUAGAAGAAUAGUUUCUUACACAGCAGACAAACAUUCCGGAUUUAAUGCUAUUGUUAAAAACGUUCACGAUUAUUAAUAAGUUAUCAAUAGUUUGAGAAGUCAAUUAACUAGUCAAACUGAUACCGUAGUAAAAGAUAAUAAAUUAUUAACAUUUGGCAUUCAUUUUGAAUGCAAUAAUAAGAUUCAAUGCGUUCUAUUUAUUCUUCACAAAAGAUGGAAUUCUUUAUUGAUCCAAGUUGAUUUUUAUUUAUUUACCAAUUAUUUUGUUUAUUUAUAACAAAACAUAAUUAACCUUAUUUCUCAUUCAACAAUUUAUAACAAUACUUUAUAAUGUUUCAUUAUUGUCAGAUCUCAUCAAAAUAUAUUUGCUUUCCAAAAUGCUUCACCAAUCCUUUUCAUUUCUUUUUCCAGUAAAAUUUAUGGCGGUUUAUUCUCCUAAAGCUUGAUUUUCUCUUUUUCCAUUUGUUCUUCUUCUCUAUUCUUCUUUUCUUUUCACUCCGACGUAUAUUAUUUUCUUGGCUCAUUAUUCCAUCUUUUGUUCUCCAUUUGAUUGAGUACACAUAUUCUACAAUCCUAGAUUGCACAUGGUCUAAUUGAUAUAUUGUUUUUGUCUCUCUCUUGAGACUUUUAAUGAUCUCAGUAAUUAUUUUUUCAAUUAUCGACAUUCUUAAUAUAGAUUUGAAGUUAGGUUGACAAAUGUAUUGAUUAACGUAUUGGUUUGAUUAGAUAAGUUUGUUUUAAGUUAUUCCUACAUCAGUAUUCCUUAUGUUUCAAUUUAAGCAAACAAUAAACUAUCAAUUUUCAAUCAUUAGAUACUGGAAGGUUAUUCACAUAUUGAUAAUAUCUUCAAAAUGUGAAAGAGUUUCAGGUACCUAAGACAGGGUGAACAAAAGGUAUGAUUGUUGAAAUUAUGUAUUUUUCGGAAGUUUCCAUAAUAAUAGAUUUUAUUACUUUGUCGCCACUAUAUAUAGUAUCUAAAUUUAUUAAGUUAUUUUAUAUUGGUUACCUACUACUUAAUUAUGAAAUCGACUAUAUUAUAAUUCUUCAUAAAUCGUUUCAUUUAUAAUUAUGUUAGAUGGGAACAAUUUACCAACUAUUUACUUCUGGUAGCGUUUUUAUUUAGCUUCAAGUUGUUACUUCACCUUACAUCUUCUGUAGUCUUUGAAGUCAUUCUUUUUUUUCUUAAAUUAAUUGUUUAUAUUCCAAAUUUAAAUUUUUUUCACUAAUAGUAGGGCAGAGUUUUUUUCUAAAUAUUUGUUACCCACAUUCUUCUACCUUAGAAAUUAGAAGCAAAACUUUUUUUAAUAAUGUCAAUGCUACUUUUUGUUCACUCAUUCAAAUUUAUUAAUAUAAGAAUAUUUACUAGUUGAAUUCUUGCCUUAUACUACGUAAUAAGUUUUUUAGAUUUAUCGUUAUUUGGAUUUCUAAAACAAAGUUUUGAAUCUAAACGUUCUGUGAGUAACACAGAUGGAUUUGCCGAUUAUACUGUUCUUUGAAACACUUCAUUAUCUAACAAAUUCUGUGGUUUUUACUUACAAAUAAUCACCAAGUUGAAAUUAAGGUUUGAAAUGAUUAUAAUUAUGGAUUCUCAUGCAUUGAGAAUUCCAAAUAUUCCAUAGAUUCUAGACUUAUUUGGAAAUUAUGCCCAAAUAACUAAUGUUCAAAGUAAAUUUUUUUGUAUCCAUCAAGAUUCUAUAUUUUUAAUUUCAGUGCUAUCCAUCACCUAUUUUGUUCUUUUUGCAAAUGAUUUACAUUAUGACACCUCAUUUGUGUCGUGGCAGUCAAUGUCUUAAGUGUUUUAUAUUAAGUUUUUUAAAACUGCUUCCAAAAUGUAAAUGCCGAUACUAUGGACUUCUGCAUUAUUAAAAGUUUAUUUUUUUAA